ACCUUUCUGCCUUGUUCGAAUCAGAGUCGCUUUUAUAAUCCAACACUUUUUAAAAGGGAAUUCAGCUCCGGCUGGGGACUGCAGACCUCCCACCAUUCGGUGGACGAAGGGAGCGAGAGACUUCCGGGCGGAUACCCACCUGCUUCGUGCGGGUUUUAUACACGACACGACGGCAAGGCGGUCUUUAA
RNAcentral lists this non-coding RNA (188 nucleotides) under Ruminococcus champanellensis 18P13 = JCM 17042. RNAcentral's name for it is "Ruminococcus sp. 18P13 6S / SsrS RNA". It matches the Rfam family "6S / SsrS RNA". Rfam says of the family: E. coli 6S RNA was the first non coding RNA to be sequenced, but its function was unknown until recently. Lineage: Bacteria; Bacillati; Bacillota; Clostridia; Eubacteriales; Oscillospiraceae. The record is from Rfam by way of RNAcentral.